CCUACGGGAGGCUGCAGUCGAGAAUCAUUCACAAUGUGGGAAACCCUGAUGGUGCGACGCCGCGUGGGGGAAUGAAGGUCUUCGGAUUGUAAACCCCUGGCAUGUGGGAGCAAAUUAAAAAGAUAGUACCACAAGAGGAAGAGACGGCUAACUCUGGGCCAGCAGCCGCGGUAAUCCAGAGGUCUCAAUCGUUGUUCGGAAUCACUGGGCGUAAAGCGUGCGUAGGCUGUUUCGUAAGUCGUGUGUGAAAGGCGCGGGCUCAACCACCGGCCGGCACAUGAUACUGCGAGACUAGAGUAAUGGAGGGGGAACCGGAAUUCGCGGUGUAGCAGUGAAAUGCGUAGAUAUCGAGAGGAACACUCGUGGCGAAGGCGGGUUCCUGGACAUUAACUGACGCUGAGGCACGAAGGCCAGGGGAGCGAAAGGGAUUAGAUACCCGGGUAGUC
RNAcentral lists this ribosomal RNA (446 nucleotides) under uncultured bacterium. RNAcentral describes it as "partial 16S ribosomal RNA". It matches the Rfam family "Bacterial small subunit ribosomal RNA", at positions 338 to 795 of the family's 1533-position model. The record is from RNAcentral.